This 263-nucleotide ribosomal RNA is filed under the name uncultured bacterium. Its description in RNAcentral is "partial 16S ribosomal RNA". It matches the Rfam family "Bacterial small subunit ribosomal RNA", at positions 524 to 776 of the family's 1533-position model. The record is from RNAcentral.
UACGUAGGGCGCAAGCGUUUAUCCGGAAUUAUUGGGCGUAAAGAGCUCGUAGGCGGUUUUGUCGCGUCUGCCCGUGAAAAGUCCGGGGGCUCAACUCCCGGAUCUGCGGUGGGUACGGGGCAGACUAGAGUGAUGUAGGGGGAGACUGGAAUUCCUGGUGUAGCGGUGAAAAUGCGCAGAUAUCAGGAGGAACACCGAUGGCGAAGGCAGGUCUCUGGGCAUUAACUGACGCUGAGGAGCGAAAGCAUGGGGGAGCGAACAGG